Molecule: unclassified non-coding RNA, 498 nt
Filed under: uncultured Glomus
Lineage: Eukaryota; Fungi; Glomeromycota; Glomeromycetes; Glomerales; Glomeraceae
Description: SSU rRNA
Rfam family: Eukaryotic small subunit ribosomal RNA
Source: RNAcentral
AGCAGCCGCGGUAAUUCCAGCUCCAAUAGCGUAUAUUAAAGUUGUUGCAGUUAAAAAGCUCGUAGUUGAAUUUCGGGAUCAAUUUGCUGGUCGUGCCUCUGGUACGUACUGGUAUUAUUGGUUUCUCCCUUCUGACGAACCAUGAUGUCAUUAAUUUGAUGUCGUGGAGAAUCAGGACUGUUACUUUGAAAAAUUAGAGUGUUUAAAGCAGGCAUUAGCUUGAAUACAUUAGCAUGGAAUAAUGAAAUAGGACGUUUGAUCCUAUUUUGUUGGUUUCUAGGAUUGACGUAAUGAUUAAUAGGGAUAGUUGGGGGCAUUAGUAUUCAAUUGUCAGAGGUGAAAUUCUUGGAUUUAUUGAAGACUAACUACUGCGAAAGCAUUUGCCAAGGAUGUUUUCAUUAAUCAAGAACGAAAGUUAGGGGAUCGAAGACGAUCAGAUACCGUCGUAGUCUUAACCAUAAACUAUGCCGACUAGGGAUCGGAUGAUGUUAAUUUUUA